RNAcentral lists this long non-coding RNA (205 nucleotides) under Capsicum annuum. RNAcentral describes it as "long non-coding RNA (CANN_LNC004371)". Lineage: Eukaryota; Viridiplantae; Streptophyta; Magnoliopsida; Solanales; Solanaceae. The record is from RNAcentral.
ACAAUGAGAAAACCUCUCUUCCGUUCUUUCACCCAAAAAAAAAAAAUAAACCUCUCUUCAGUUCAUAAGCAAACACUUCAUUGAUUUUUCGAUUUUGUUGUCCAAUUUCUACUUUUUUAGCAAAGCAGAAUUUGGUUUCAUAUCAGAAGAGGAAGAUGGGUUUCAUGUCAAUUUGAUGGGAUUUUUGUGGACUAAAGUUGUGGCG